Molecule: ribosomal RNA, 493 nt
Filed under: uncultured bacterium
Lineage: Bacteria
Description: bacterial SSU rRNA
Rfam family: Bacterial small subunit ribosomal RNA
Source: RNAcentral
AGAGUUUGAUCAUGGCUCAGGAUAAACGCUGGCGGCGUGCCUAAAACAUGCAAGUCGAACGGCUCCGGGUCUUCGGAUCUGGGGUAGUGGCGGACGGCUGAGUAACACGUGGGUGACCUGCCCUCGAGCGGGGGAUAACUGCCCGAAAGGGUGGCUAAUACCGCAGACGUCGAUCAUUCGGUUGGUCGACUGAACCUCCGGGGUUCGGGGAGGGGCCCGCGGUCGAUUAGCUGGCUGGUGGGGUAACGGCCUACCAGGGCUGCGAUCGAUAGCUGGUCUGAGAGGAUGAUCAGCCAGACUGGGACUGCGAACGGCCCAGACUCCUACGGGAGGCAGCAGUUAGGAAUUUUGGGCAAUGGGCGGAAGCCUGACCCAGCAACGCCGCGUGGGUGAUGAAGGCCCUCGGGUCGUAAAGCCCUUUUCCCAGGGACGAUGGUGACGGUACCUGGGGAAUCAGCCCCGGCUAACUACGUGCCAGCCGCCGCGGUAAUUC